Molecule: ribosomal RNA, 415 nt
Filed under: uncultured bacterium
Lineage: Bacteria
Description: bacterial SSU rRNA
Rfam family: Bacterial small subunit ribosomal RNA
Source: RNAcentral
AUAUUGCGCAAUGGACGAAAGUCUGACGCAGCAACGCCGCGUGCAGGAUGACGGCCCUCUGGGUUGUAAACUGCUGUAGCAGGGGAAUAACACCCGCCUUAGGCGGAUUGAAGGUACCCUGAAAGUAAGCUCCGGCUAACUACGUGCCAGCAGCCGCGGUAAUACGUAGGGAGCAAGCGUUGUCCGGAUUCACUGGGUGUAAAGGGUGCGCAGGCGGAUUGGUAAGUCAGGGGUGAAAUCUCACGGCUUAACCGUGAAAUUGCCUUUGAUACUGCCAAUCUUGAGUUCGGGAGAGGUCGAUGGAAUUCCAGGUGUAGCGGUGAAAUGCGUAGAUAUCUGGAAGAACACCAGUAGCGAAGGCGGUCGACUGGCCCGUAACUGACGCUCAGGCACGAAAGCGUGGGUAGCGAACAGG